Nicotiana tabacum (common tobacco) is the source of this 2625-nucleotide long non-coding RNA. RefSeq lists it as uncharacterized. Lineage: Eukaryota; Viridiplantae; Streptophyta; Magnoliopsida; Solanales; Solanaceae. The record is from RefSeq and is a predicted model, not a curated record.
AUGGCAUUAAAAGUUGGACCAAGUAUUACUUUUAUGCCCUUCUUCCUACAAACUAUACACUCCCACUCCCAAAGGCUUUUGUGUUCAGCUUCAAGUCCUUGUCAUUUUCCUCUACAGGUAAUCUCCGACCAAAUUCUAAUGGAAACAAAUAAUUAGAUUGUCGCCGGAAUCUCUCUUUACAUGUAAGUUCACUCUUUUUUUCUCAGUAGAGCUCUCUGUUCAUUCCCCUCUUGGGAUAUACUCAUUUGUUGUUAGGUUUGGAAUUAAAAUUAGAAAUUUUUAGGAUGCAUAUUUAAGUUUUUAUAAAUUUCUAUUCGUUUUCAGGGUUUUAAUUUUUUAGAAAAAAUCUAUUCGAGAUUUAGUUUUUAGCAUUGUCUGUAUAUUCUAGAGUUCUAAUCGAAUUGUUUUGACAAUAUUGAGCCUCAGUCAAAAUAGUAUUGAUAUUAAUACUUUGUUUUGUAGAUAUACCCGUCCCAAAUGUAUUUUCAUUGUAUUGUACAGAUAUGUCACUAGAACCCUCUGAAGAUUAAUGCGAAUUCAUUUUCCUUCUUUCCAGAUAUUUUCACACAAUGUUCUCUCUCUCUUUCUCUCAAAUUAAGGUUCUUAUUCAUUUCAUUUCUUUCACAAUUAUGGGUUGAUUUAUGCACAUUAACAUAAUAUCAGAGCCUAGAAUCAAUUGAUUCUGGCUCGGCUCUAUAGAUCGACGGUGGAUUUGCGAAGUUUCGUGGGAAUUUCUCGUGAAUUUUAUGCGGUGAUUUCUGGUGGUUCACGGUCUAACAAUUUGACGCCUGUCGCCAUGAUUUUGGGUCAAACUUCAAGGCCUUACUUCUUUAGGUUGUAAAGGACGGUAACACCUUCUAUUACUACUCUUCAUGUUCAGUAUUGACAAAAAUCCUGUUAGUCGUCUGCAUUUUGUGAAACAUACCUAAUUAGGGUUUCGUCAAGGGUAGUCCAAAGAUUAGUUCAUCCUCUACUAUUGAUGGAUUUGAUGACUUAACUGUUCCCCCUUCCCAUCCAUUUUAUGCCCAUCCGUCCGAUAUUCCAGGUACUCACCUGGUAUCCCCACCUUUUGAUAGUAAUGGUUUUGUUAUUUGGUGUAAAAACAUGUUAGACUGCACUUUCUGCUUAAAACAAGUUAGGGCUUAUAACUGGCAGAGACCCAAAACCUCAAUUACAUUUUCCAUACUACCAAUUCUGGUUACGAUGGUCAUUGCAUGGAUAACAAACUCACUUUCUAGGGAUAUAGCAAAUAGUGUGAUGUGUUUUGAUACAACUAAGGAUAUGUGGGCUGAUAAUGAGAGGUUUGGUACAUCAAAUGGCUCCAAAUAUAUCCAGAUUCAGAGAGAAGUUAGUGCUACUUCCCAGGGGUCUUUAGACAUUGCCACUUAUUUUACCAAACUGAGUGGUCUUUGGGAUGAACUUAGUACUGCAUAUGUAGGACCAGUUUGCUCUUGUGGAGCUUUUCCUAAAUUCAUUGAAGAAGAGAAAAUCUACCAAUUCUUUAGUAUAUUAAAUGAGUCUUAUUCUACAUGCAAAGGCAAUAUCGUUAUGAUGCCAUCUCUCCCCUCUUUGAGCAAAGCAUAUUCAAUGUUUCAAAUUAAUGACAAGUAGAAGGAGACCUCUGCUCCUGUUCCUGGCUUCUCUAAUGAUUCUGCUUCAUUUAAUGCUUUAGCUGGACAUAUGAAUAAUCAUAGAUUUUUCCAUCAGAGGGUACAUUUUGACUCAAAAAGAGGUUCUACUUCCACCUCAAGUAUGUCUUGUAAGUACUGUAAGAAACCUGGGCACACUAUUGAUAAGUGCUACAAGCUCUAUGAUUUUUCCCCAGACUUCAAGUUUACCAAGAAUAAGAGGUCUGUUGCAUGUGUUCGGUCUAGGGGUCAUAUUCCAGAGUCUAUUUCUUCCAACCAUGGUUCUUAUGAAGUAUCUGGUCAUGGCUUCAGUAGAGAACAAUCACAACAUCUUAUGACUUUGUUCCAGCAGAUUCACACCUCUCCUGCCUUCCACCAUGAGAAUAAUGUUGUUGACAAUUUUGGAUUUGCAAAUUUUGCAGGUGUGUAUAACCACCCUGAAGUGCAUUCUACUUUUUUCAUACAUGUGUAGUUUCAACUUUAGGUUUGAAUCCUUGGAUUAUAGAUUCUGGUGCCACCAAUCACAUGCCACCACAUAAACAUCUUCUCCACAACCUUAAAUCAUUCGUUUCUCCAUUUCUGAUAACCUUACCAAAUGAAUAUAAAGUUAAAGUUAUAUCUACUGGAUCAUUAGUUCUUUGAGCAGAUAUGAUAUUACAUAAUGUUCUUUUAAUUCCAUCCUUUUUUUUCAACUUGAUCUUUGUGCACAAAUUGCUUCUUCAGUUUAAUUGUCUUGCAGUCUUCAGCAUUUCUACUUGCAUUUUACAGGGCCCUUCUUUGAGGAGGCCUCUGGAAAUUGGUAAGGAUGAAAAUGGGUUAUACUUCUUCCAUUCAGCUAAUCCACAACUCCCUAUUCUUGUUCCCUAUUAUGUUUGUAAUUAUAUUCAUAGUGAUGUAUCUGCUCAUGUUUCCAAUUCUCCUGAACAUUCUGUAAUUCAUAGUUCAACUUGUAAUCCACCUGUUGUUGCUAAUAAAAGUGAUUUAUUUUGGCAUCAAA